CCCUUAGAUGUUCUGGGCUGCACGCGCGCUACACUGAUGCGUUCAACGAGUUUUUAGCUUAUCUGAUAAGAUUGGCUAAUCUUCUGAAAACGCAUCGUGAUGGGGAUAGAUUAUUGUAAUUAUUAAUCUUCAACGAGGAAUUCCUAGUAGGUGUGAAUCAUCAGUUCACGCCGAUUACGUCCCUGCCCUUUGUACACACCGCCCGCCGCUCCUACCGAUUGAGUGAUCCGGUGAAUAAUUCGGACCGGUGAGCUUCCAGGUUUACCUGGCUGCUUGCUGGAAAGUCUAGUGAACCUUAUCACUUAGAGGAAGGAGAAGUCGUAACA
RNAcentral lists this ribosomal RNA (326 nucleotides) under uncultured eukaryote. Its description in RNAcentral is "partial 18S ribosomal RNA". It matches the Rfam family "Eukaryotic small subunit ribosomal RNA", at positions 1470 to 1796 of the family's 1831-position model. The record is from RNAcentral.